Heterocephalus glaber (naked mole-rat) is the source of this 1209-nucleotide long non-coding RNA. NCBI's taxonomy places the organism in Eukaryota, Metazoa, Chordata, Mammalia, Rodentia, Bathyergidae. The record is from Ensembl.
GGCAAGGGGAACCGUUCAGCAAACCCCGCUUUCCUCGGCGGGGCGCAGGGGCCGGCGGGCGACGCCUGCACACACUCGGCUUUGCGAAGUACAGAGCGCCCGGGCCGAGUGGCGCCCGGGGUGGAGGAGAUCCUACCCGCCCAGCCCUCCUUCGGCCCGGCGGAGAGGGAGUGGGGUGCGCCCCGCCCGCCCCCAGCCCGACUCCGCUGGAAACCUGGGCUCCUCGAGCGCGCGGGGCGGGGAUGCUGCGGGGGCCGGCGGGGCCCCGGGGCAGGUUAUGUAGAAUGGCUCUUGACAUCGCUCUGCUUCCUGUCUGCCAUGCCCUGAGCAGCUUUCCUCUGCCAUGCGGUUCUACCCUGGAGCCAGAUGACUGUGGACUGAAACCUCUACAAACCGACCUGGCCAAGCUCCUUGCCCAGCGCAGACCGGCUGCCCUUGUCUAUUGGCCUUUGAGUGGACAAGGAAGGAGGAAGUGAGAGGCACUCCGACAGAGAAGAGUCCCUUUCCCUGCAACUCCAGGAAAACCUGCAGGCUCCCCACACCUGGCGGAAGCAGGAGGCAGCCAUGCCCGCAAGGCUAAAGUCCUGGCCUACAGCCCCAGCAGCCUUCCUCCAGAGUUUACCCAGUGCACACACCUGAGAACUGGCCCAGGAGGGCCAGGUAGCUGGCAUGUCCCUGCGAGAACAGCCAGCAGGUACAGAGUGCCCUGGAGGCUGGUCCUCUGGGAGGGAGGGUGACAUCCAGAAACUGGCCUGGCUGAUUUUUAUCAAGCCACCUUUCAGUGAAGUUGUAUGGUGUGAAAUGGAACAAUGCAAUUGCUUAACCAUCACCGCCUGCCGCACCAUCUAGUCAGAGGUGAUUUUUGCUCAACCGGAUGGGGGGAAGUCGUUAUGAAGCCUUAAUAAAAAUUUUUUUUUCUGGAUGUAGGCAGCAGACUUUAACAAUUAAUAUUGCUGCAAUCUAGCUUUCUACACUGUUUAUUGAGCUUUAAAAAGAAGUGCCACCCUUAAGCCUGAACCCCUUAAGUAUUUUUUUAUAACCGAGGCUAAGAUGGAGGUGGUGUAGCUAAUUAAAUAACAUAGGUCAGAGGCUUUGUUGUUGUUUCCAUACUGGGGAUUGAACCCAGGGACUUCACACAGAGCUACAGCCCCGUCCCACUCUUAACUUUUUAUUUUGAGAGGGGUCUUGAUAAGCCACUGAGUCGCCCAG